UACGAAGGGGGCUAGCGUUGCUCGGAAUUACUGGGCGUAAAGGGCGCGUAGGCGGAUACUUAAGUCGGGGGUGAAAGCCCAGGGCUCAACCCUGGAAUAGCCUUCGAUACUGGGUAUCUUGAGUUCGGGAGAGGUGAGUGGAACUCCGAGUGUAGAGGUGAAAUUCGUAGAUAUUCGGAAGAACACCAGUAGCGAAGGCGACUCACUGGCCCGAUACUGACGCUGAGGCGCGAAAGCGUGGGGAGCAAACAGG
Molecule: ribosomal RNA, 253 nt
Filed under: uncultured bacterium
Lineage: Bacteria
Description: partial 16S ribosomal RNA
Rfam family: Bacterial small subunit ribosomal RNA
Source: RNAcentral